RNAcentral lists this ribosomal RNA (576 nucleotides) under uncultured eukaryote. Its description in RNAcentral is "bacterial SSU rRNA". It matches the Rfam family "Eukaryotic small subunit ribosomal RNA", at positions 181 to 796 of the family's 1831-position model. The record is from RNAcentral.
GCCGUCGCGAGAUGGUUGUAUUUAUUAGAUUGAAACCAAUGUUGUAGUUGAAUCAUAAUAACUGUGCGGAUCGUUCUGUAUGGAGCGAUGAGUCGAAUGGGUUUCUGCCCUAUCAGUUGGAUGGCUGUGUAUUGGACAGCCAUGACAUUGACGGGUAACGGAGGAUCGGGGUUCGAUACCGGUGAGGGCGCCUGAGAAAUGGCGACCACAUCCAAGGAAGGCAGCAGGCGCGUAAAUUACCCAAUGCUAAUUCAGCGAGGUAGUGACAAGAAAUAACGAUUUUUGAUCGAAUGAUCAGAAAAUUGGAAUGAGAACAAUUUAAAUCCCUUAUCGAGGAUCAAUUGGAGGGCAAGUCUGGUGCCAGCAGCCGCGGUAAUUCCAGCUCCAAUAGCGUAUAUUGAAGUUGUUGCAGUUAAAAAGCUCGUAGUUGGAUGUGUUUUGGAUGUUGUGUUCGACUGUGAACAAAGCAGCUGAAAGUUUUGGGAAUCUUUGCAUGUGGGCAUUGAGUUGUGUUAUGUGUGGAGGCCCAUCGUUUACUGUGAAAAAAUUAGAGUGUUUAAAGCAGGGUGUUUGCCU